This is a long non-coding RNA of Neoarius graeffei (lesser salmon catfish), 492 nucleotides long. RefSeq lists it as uncharacterized. NCBI's taxonomy places the organism in Eukaryota, Metazoa, Chordata, Actinopteri, Siluriformes, Ariidae. The transcript is spliced from 3 exons. The record is from RefSeq and is a predicted model, not a curated record.
AUGUUACUAUUGAAUCAGAAACAUCUAAACCAGCUCUGGGUGAUAAUUCAGUGGGCUGUGAACCAACACUGCAUGGAAACAGCACGAACAUGAACACACAAGAGAAAACAGUGCUCGGUUUGGGAACGGCUUUGGGUUUGUGUGCACUUCUGAUUUUCUGUCUCGUUUAUUUCAUACUGAGGAGAAGAAAAUGGGAUAAAAGUAAGUGUUUCUGUGAUCAGAUAAAAAUUCCAGUGACUUUUAUUCCUAUCAAAGACACUAAUGUGUGUUUCUGUAUUAAUAGUAAACGCUUCUGUCGAAAAUUCUCCAGGAAUGAAUCAGGAAUCUGAAGCUGAAACACUGAAUUAUGCAGCUGUGCAUUUCUCUAAGAGGAAACCCAAAGCUGAAACAAAGAAAUCUGGUUCAUCAGAUGAGUGUGUGUACGCUGAUGUGAAUAAAACUGCACGCUGUAACAUAAAUGAUUCAUAAUAAAUGGAGAAACACACGGCAGAA